CGCCCCAGACCGCCGAGGCCUGUGGACCGGAAAGCCCGAAAUGGUGAGGUGACCGGUGCCUACUGACUCUCACAGGAGCAGUCUUCCAUAGCCCGGGGUGAGACUUGUAAAACUGCCCUCUACGGCCGUCCCGGAAAGUAGACGGCUGUUUCUGCAGACGCUUAAAAAAGAGAAAGAAAGAAAGAAAGAAAAAAAAAAGCCCUUCCAUCCCCCAAGAACUGGGUUUGAGUUGCUUUUCAUCUGGAGUGGCAGUGAUUCAGCGACCCCCUUCUCAGCAGCAGGCAGUGACAGAGACAGGAGACGAAAAACACAGCGAAUGAAUCAGACGCUAUCUUGGAAGGGGAAUUGUGAGUUAGGAAGCACAGAGGGGGCCAACCUAAGGCAUUUCAAGAGAUGA
Molecule: long non-coding RNA, 397 nt
Organism: Ursus maritimus (polar bear)
Lineage: Eukaryota; Metazoa; Chordata; Mammalia; Carnivora; Ursidae
Source: Ensembl